AGGACGAACGCUGGCGGCGUGCUUAACACAUGCAAGUCGAACGGAAAGGCCCGCUUGCGGGUACUCGAGUGGCGAACGGGUGAGUAACACGUGGGCAACCUGCCCUCAGCUUCGGGAUAACACUUGGAAACAGGUGCUAAUACCGGAUAAUAACCUUUCAUCGCAUGGUGGUUGGUUCAAAGUUUUUCGGCUGAGGAUGGGCCCGCGGCCUAUCAGCUUGUUGGUGGGGUAAAUGGCCUACCAAGGCGACGACGGGUA
RNAcentral lists this ribosomal RNA (258 nucleotides) under uncultured bacterium. RNAcentral's name for it is "partial small subunit ribosomal RNA". It matches the Rfam family "Bacterial small subunit ribosomal RNA", at positions 26 to 285 of the family's 1533-position model. The record is from RNAcentral.